This 686-nucleotide ribosomal RNA is filed under the name uncultured Clostridium sp. Its description in RNAcentral is "bacterial SSU rRNA". It matches the Rfam family "Bacterial small subunit ribosomal RNA", at positions 62 to 776 of the family's 1533-position model. Lineage: Bacteria; Bacillati; Bacillota; Clostridia; Eubacteriales; Clostridiaceae. The record is from RNAcentral.
UCGAGCGAUUUUCUUCGGAAGAGAGCGGCGGACGGGUGAGUAACGCGUGGGUAACCUGCCCUGUACACACGGAUAACAUACCGAAAGGUAUGCUAAUACGGGAUAACAUAAGAAAGUCGCAUGGAUUUCUUAUCAAAGCUUUUGCGGUACAGGAUGGACCCGCGUCUGAUUAGCUAGUUGGUAAGGUAACGGCUUACCAAGGCGACGAUCAGUAGCCGACCUGAGAGGGUGAUCGGCCACAUUGGAACUGAGACACGGUCCAAACUCCUACGGGAGGCAGCAGUGGGGAAUAUUGCACAAUGGGCGAAAGCCUGAUGCAGCAACGCCGCGUGAGCGAUGAAGGCCUUCGGGUCGUAAAGCUCUGUCCUCAAGGAAGAUAAUGACGGUACUUGAGGAGGAAGCCCCGGCUAACUACGUGCCAGCAGCCGCGGUAAUACGUAGGGGGCUAGCGUUAUCCGGAAUUACUGGGCGUAAAGGGUGCGUAGGCGGUCUUUCAAGUCAGAAGUGAAAGGCUACGGCUCAACCGUAGUAAGCUUUUGAAACUGUAAGACUUGAGUGCAGGAGAGGAGAGUGGAAUUCCUAGUGUAGCGGUGAAAUGCGUAGAUAUUAGGAGGAACACCAGUUGCGAAGGCGGCUCUCUGGACUGUAACUGACGCUGGGGCACGAAAGCGUGGGGAGCAAACAGG